This is a non-coding RNA of Peromyscus eremicus (cactus mouse), 73 nucleotides long. The record is from the annotation of a RefSeq genome assembly. Lineage: Eukaryota; Metazoa; Chordata; Mammalia; Rodentia; Cricetidae.
UGGGAUGUAGCUCAGUUGGGAGAGUGUUUGCCUAGCAUGCACAAAGUGCUGGGUUCGAUCCCCAGCACUCCAU